Non-coding RNA from Peromyscus maniculatus bairdii (prairie deer mouse), 8436 nucleotides. The record is from RefSeq and is a predicted model, not a curated record. NCBI's taxonomy places the organism in Eukaryota, Metazoa, Chordata, Mammalia, Rodentia, Cricetidae.
AAAAAAGAGUAUAUUUUGGUAUUCUUCCUAGAUUCUCCUCUUUUGGCUCUAAUUCUAACUCCCACUUCUGACCUCUUUACAUCAGGGCAUGUUGUUAGCCUUUUCACAUCAUUACUAGGUGAGCAACAAAGAAGAAAGUUUCUGGAAAAACUAGCUUCUGUAAGACAACCAGAAAGUGUUGACAAUCAUUUCUUGGUCUAAGCAUUCUUUAGCUCUUUUGAAAAAUGACCUCAGCCUAUCUGUGGGCUGGAUCUCCCUGGUAUAGAUCACAGUGUCCUAUAGCCCUUUCUGCUUGGGUUUGAAUCUAAGCCUGAAAAUGUCUGCCUUAGUCGCUUCCCUCAUCUCUAGAAAUGAAGUGGAUUUCUGAAGUUGCUGCCUCUGGUAUGUCUCAGCUUUCUCCUUUACCUUUUCAGCAGUUAGCAUUCUUUUACUGAAAAUAACUGUUUUUAUAUUGAAAUUAGUGGUGUAAUGUUUUUAUCCUGAUUACACUCUGGAUGAUUUUGAUGAGGUAAACAUGUGGGAAGAAAUCCACUUCUAGUCACCAUGGGAAAUGCAGUGGAAUCCAACCAAAAAGGUUGAGUGAGAUGUCCUUUGUAAGAAUUACCUUGUCAAAGAGCACUUGCCUGAAGUAGCUGUUCUGAGAUGUAGACUACGUGUUAUUUUGCCAAUUAGCUCUGGGCUGGAAGUGAGUUGCCGAACUGGAUUACUGCAGCCUGGAGAUGUUCUCAGGGUAACAGUGCUAAGCAGUUUCUAUUAGCCACAGGGAAUAAAAGAGGCGGUACUCUGUACUGUGGGGAGCUGUUAGCAUGCUUGCAUAUUGUGUUUGUGUCCUUGAAUCAUAUGUCUAAAAAACACCUGACUUUUUAUGAAUAUGCGAUAUUUGAUACUCUAUCAUAAACCGCUAGAUGAUUUUUGUCUAGUUAUUCCCUAAUGUGUGUUCUGAGCAUGGUUAAGGUAGGCCAUUCAAGGCUGUAAUGCUUGAUAGUUUGGGUGUUAAACACAUAGUGACUUGGGAUGUUUCCACUGAUGGUGGGUUUAUUAGGGACAUACAGAAUCAUAGCUAACAGGACAGGUGCCUUUCUGUGUGUGGGUAUGGUUGUAGCACCCCUUUAAAGAAAGCUUGUCUGGUUCUCUUUUGAUAUGUGUGUCUCAUUUUAUCAGUGUCAUAAGGCUGGGAGACAGUAGUCUCAUUUGCCUUGUGACAAGAAGGGUUGCUAGGAAAUGGUUGAGGGGGACGUGGACUGAGAAUCCAGAGAGCUGCCGCAGAAGCUGCUGGGUGCAAGCCCCACUUCCCUGGUAGGAGUCAGUGGUGUUCCUGCUGUGGCAGAGGUUUGGGAUGGGAAGAGAGGUUUAGAGGGACCCAGACUAUCAAGUCUCAAAGGUAGAAUGAAAAAUUCUAUAGGAAGUGUUUGUGACGGACAUUUGUUGGCAGAGUGACACUUAUAAGCAGAGCGACCUUUAUUGGUAGAGCUCUCAGUAUGAAGUAGGUGAGCUUAACACAGUGGAUGUCAUAGGAAGGGCUCUAGAAGAAGAGUCUGGACAAAUCAUGUCUCAGAGUAUCUCCUGGGUCUGAAUUUUUUUCUAGAAGUGUUCCUUAAUGGAACUUUCAGGUGGUCUGGAAGGGGACAUGCUGCUCUUUGAAAAGCAUAACGGAGACAAUUAUCAAUCAAAGUGUUGUGGCCAGCAGCAGAUGGCUUUAGGCCAGAUUUCUUCAACAUUUUCAGGUGAGGAUGCUAAAUGCAUAGAUGGAAAGUUUAUGAUCCCUGGUUUUAAGAGGGAUGACCACACAGGUUCUGACGAGGCUGGGAGGCACCCACAGUGAACCAUUUGUCUUCCCUUUUCUGCGGGACUCCAGGCUUCCUUCCCCGCUUACACACUUUCAUUCUCUUGGCUGAGGUGUUUUCGGGUAUUUCUCAUCUCCCAGUGGCUCCCAGAGUCAGUCCAUUGCUCACCCACUCAGGAAGAGUCAUGCACGCUGGCACGUGCAUGAAGAGUGUGAGCACAGAAGACUGGGGGGCAAGCACCAGUCCUAAGACGUUGGCUCAAGUUUAUAUGAUGCCAGUCCAAGCUCGGAGACACCAGCACCAACGUGGAGGGGUGCGAGCACAGAGGCAUUAUGAUCAGUUGGCUGAUUAUGGCGGUGCCCAUUAUAUAGAAAGCAAGGCAGUGUCGCCCUGACUGACUUGAGAGCCCUCCUGGGAAUUUACACCACUGGCAUAGAUAUUAGAAUAGCCAUGCCAUCUUGCUUCUUGGGUCCAUUUGCUUGGAAAUUUUUUUCCCAACCCUUUACUCUGAGGUGAAGUGGAAGAUCUGGCUCUAGGGGACCGUUUGGAAUACUCCAUGGACACACAGCCCACUGCCCACUUGGAAAGCUGCCGGGGAGAAGCUUGAAACCUGUCAGGCAGAGCCAACAAGGACACAGUGUCCUGCCACAGCAGGAAGGAGCCUGGAGAACGCAGAGGACAGUUAGUACCACUUGGACAUCUCUGUCCUCUCCAAGUGUGGAAGUUGGUCCUUGCAGAGAAAGAAGCCUGACUAAAGUAAGGAUGUGCCCUCACACUUUGGCAACAUAAUUGGCCUAUCACUGAAGAUGAGGACUUUGUCUUGAGCCUUGUGGCUCUGGCUGGGGACCAUCUAUUAACAUCAGACCCUCUUCUCACAGGGUCAGAACAAAGACGUAAGGAAGCCACUGCAAAAGAGGUGGGGGCGAGGGUGGACCGGGUCCAUGCUUAUAUCCCUGGAAGACAUGUUUUGAGGAAUGAAGAGACCAGAUGUGAAAGCCAGAAGGGACAUAAAUUGUAUCUUUGCCUGUGUUAAUUCAGUGCUUUCUGGCACACCAUGACUGCAUUUUGCUCCUACUCCUGGUGAAUGACAUGGAUACAGCUCACUAGUAGUGGGUUUUGAAUGUGAAAUUAGUAAAAGUGACUGCUUAUGCCCAAACAGUGCCCUGUGAGCCUUGUGGCCUAGAGAUGGCAACGUGAGCCCCAGUGUCCACUGUGGUACUGUCAGGCAUAAAGUGAGACAGGUCCCUUCCAGGGCAGACUGUAUCAAGGCACCUCGAAGUAUCCCCUCGGUUACUUUCAGUUUCAAUAUGACAGUGCAAAUUGUCCAUACCCGCAGGCAUUUCUGUCCAUCACUUAAGCAUGAACUCUGUGACCCAAAACUGAACAAGCUCAUGAAUAUAAUGUAUUCCUUCACUGAGCAUGCUUGGGCAUGUAGUGAACUCCUUUACUGAGCGUGCUCAGAAAUGUAGUGAACAUUUUCACUGAGGAUGCUCAGCAGUGUGGUGUCCUCCUUUGCAGACCAUAAUCAGGAAGGACCUACUCCUCUAGGAAUAUGUCUAAAGCUCCAGAAUAGAGUCCCCUUGCUUUCUCGGAGAGGGUUAUUGCUUUUGAGAUGUCACUGUGUUCUUGCCCACUGCAAGUGGCUACUCUCUCUCCUCUGUCUUAACUCUGCUUAGUUUGGCUUUGCAGUCACCAAUAUGAGAGCUCUUGGUGUCUAAUCCAGGGCUCUUGUAAGCUACCAGAGUAGCCACAAUGGCAGCAGCAGCAACCAUGACCUUUACAUUUGUUCAGAAUAUGAUCCCAAGUGCAACCUAACCCGGCUGUGGCUCCUUCAGAGCAAACAAGAGAGAGCUGUCCCACCUGGAGGAUCUCAAGUUCCUCAUUUCACGUUCACAGUGAUCUGGGACAGGUUGCAGGGACAGUUGAACCUCCUCAGAUGGUGAGCACCAUACAUCCCCUUCUGGCUCUGCUGGAACAUUGUCUUAAUCUGCUCAGAAAGAUUUUCUGGAACAUUUGUGAGGGAAAAGCGGCCUGGGUGACCUUUUUAUACUGUGAAAAACAAACAGGACCAAAGGGGGGCGUGUGUAACAGCCAGCCUCCCCAAAUGUGGUAACUAACUCCUUAAGGGGUGUGUCCUUUGAGCCCCAGACCUUAGAAGGCUUAAUGGAAAACCAGCCCUUGGAGGAGAAAUUGUUCUGUCUCGUAGGUCCCUGCUGGGCUCCUGGACUGAGUUCCAGAGCUCCAGGAAAUCACACAUUAGCUUCUUCAAUGAGAAAGCUCGGAUGGCUCUCUAUGCCAUCACUGCCAUGGCUUAUCAGUGUAGGCCUCUGGGUCAAGGAACCCCUGGCUACAUAGUACAAGAUGUGGAUAAGCAGCUACGAAAGAGGAAGGACACUCUAGGCAAAUGGACAAGCUGGCGCAAAACCCCACAUUCCUCAGGCUAAGGUCUAUAGCCCCUUCAGAGAACAGCAAGUUCAUUUUUGCUGGUAUUCAGAAACGAAAGGAAUGGUAGGCGCAGCUCUUACUCUUUCCCUUGUGACCUCCCCUGAGUAGUUAUGAGAAGGACCUGCUCAGGGGCCGCAGUCUUCAGGGGUGAGCUUGUCCGGUUGGCCCUGGUACUGUUCUGGCAAUAGGCUCUGGCAGCAUCCAGCCAGAAACAGUUCUACAGCAGCAGUCCUUGUACGUGGGCUCUCUUCCCUCCUAUACUCAGCCUCUCCUACAUUGUCCAGCAGAGAUGUGGUGAAGACACUCGGAGUGAGCUUCCACACAGACCCGGCCUGUGACCCCACAAGGAGCUGUGGCUAAAAGACCUGACUCAGAAGUUACACCGUACCCUGACCAAGCUUGUUCUGUCUCUCUCAGCAUCUGUGAGUUUGUCCAGUUUCACCCUCUAUGAAGUGGCCAUCCACUGGGUCUUUUCCCUUCACCACAUCAAAGCAGAGACACAUGGAAGGGUCUCUGUUAGUGACUUUGGACACAGGUAGGACUUAGCACUGAGCUAGAUCAACUGAAUCAUAGCUCUUUUCCUGACUCUUCCUUCAGAACUUGUGAUCCCUUGCCAACCCCUCCCCCUCCCAUUCCACCCUCUGGUUGCAUCUUCUGUCUGCUUCCGGCUCAGCUUUCCCAGGUCCCCACAUAUGGGUGAUGCUGCAGGAUUGGUCCUUCUAAGGCGACAGAUAUCAAGUUGCAUUCCCCAUAAAGAGUUAGGAUUUUUUGUUUUAUUUGCGAAGGGCGUUCAAGAAGCGAAGACAAAAUGCAGAAGUGCGUCCACGUUGGCAGCUGUGCCUACAAGGCUUCCUGUGGACUCCACUGCCCUCUCCCUUCAUUGUAGCCUCUUAACUUUGGGGUUCCUGACUCCUACUUGGAGCUGACAGGCAGCGGCAUAGUGUUCUCAGGGUGUUAGCAGUUUGACUCCUCACCUGCUUCUAGCCCCUGCAUUUGUUGGUCUUGAAAGUUGUGAGUGCAACCUGAGUUUGACCCCUGGUGAUGUCCUAGGGGGAUAAGCCCAUGUUAUUUUCAUUUGGCUCUGUGGUUGUCAUAUUAUGGGUGACUCUAAGGAGGAUGGGUUUUCCAGGUGGGGUAUCAUAGGAUGUCAUGCUGAACUCAAUGUUGCCCACAAUACCGCUGCCUAAGUUAAAACCCACAGUACCAUAUGUGAGAAUGAUAUGCAAGGGCAGGUCAUCCAGAGGCAGCAGAGCAUGGAAGGCAAGCUGUGGCUUCUGCCACCCUUCAUCUUUUGUUUCUAGUCAUCCAGGAGCUGUUACUUCCCAAGCAAUGUGAAGGUGGAAAUGUCAGUUCAUUCCUACUCCUCUUUUUGAGGGAGGAGGACAAUGAGAGGCCCUGCAAGGCUUUUGUCAAACCAGGGCUGCAUAGGCUUCACUGUCUGCUAACAGCCCUCCCUGGAGCUUAAUAACUUAAUAUGAUGUAUGUUGCUGUGACUUCAUUAAACAUUCAAUGUUUUUUAAAAACCCCAAAGUUUCAUGGAAGUUGUAUCCCAUGGUGAACAUGAUCUCUACAAUCUUGGAGAUUGAGACUUGUGGGGCUGUUUCUCUAGAGGAAGGUAGUGGACCUUCUUCACUGUGAAACAGCCAAGGGUACUCCGUAAGCUGGUCUAUAGUCAUCUGGUAUCCGGGGUUGACACUGAGUAUGUACACAGUGAAGUUUUUGGUGUUUUUUUAUUUUUAUUUUUUUAAAGAGGUUAGGUGGAUUAUCGCUUUGUAGUCAUGAUCAUCUGGAGCAUCCCUGAAAAGGUUGGUGCUUAGCAUGGUAAACACCCUGUUAUCAUUGCAUAAAGCACUAUACCAAGGCUCUACAUGUCACUGUCAUAGUGUCUGCCCACUAACACCUCUAAGGUUAUAUAGCAAAGGGUGCCACACGCCUCCUCAGUCUUUGCUCAGAGAUAUUUUCGUGGCCAGCCUGAAUCACAAGGUUUGGCGUGUUUCUCCUCAGCUACAAGGAUGCUCUUCAGUUAAAUGUUUUUGUGUGCUGUUUUGUUUUGGUGGAGAUAGGGAACUGCCAGUACCUUUUACCAGACAAUGGGAACUGUUUCCUCCUCGGGUGCACAGCCCGAUGCCCCAAUGAGGCUCAUUAGCGCUCUUCCUGCCACAGAUUCCACGAUGACAAACCUGUUUGAUGGUGUUUGGGUGAUCUAAUGGUUUUAUAUGGUCCACCUCGGUGAUGUUGGAGGCAUUGCUUUUGCUCUUGUUGAGCUCAGAUCUUCAAAACCAGUUGAGUAUCUCUGCAGGUGUGGCACGGGCAGCUGCAUCUCUGCAAAGGUGCCACAGCCAAGGGUCAUUAAAAUAUUGUGAUACUCUUCAUGAGCAGUCCUAGACAUUAGGUCCCACUCCAUUGCUACCACCUUAACUUCUGGGAAGUGACACCAUUGCACAGUGCUACAUUUAGAAAAUUAAUAGGAGUAGGUUCGCCCCAGGACUCCCACGCUCCCCAGCUUCAGGUUCUUAACCGGAUCUAUAGUAUCAAGUAUGAAUGUCUCCCUGUGUAACAGGCCUUGAAUCUAAUAAGAAAAUGGUUGGUCAUCCCCCUAAUUCCUAUGCCGCUACAUUGUCCUGUGUUGUCAGCUUGAUCACUGUGGCAGCUCAUAGGGUUCCUAGCUGGGUAACACACUUAUGACUUUCUUCCUGUCCUGGUUUGCUUCUCUUGCUGUGAUAAAACACAGACCCAAAGCAACUCCUCUCCCUUAGGGGAGGGAAGGGUUUACUUCAUCUCAUGGGUCGCAGUCCAUUAUCAAGAAAAGCUAAGGCAGGAACUUAGAGCAGGAACUGAAGCAGAGACAUUGGAGAAAUACUGCUUACUGACUUGUUCCCGGGCUCAAGAUGAGCGGCCUUUCUUAUAUAGCCCAGGCCUACCUGCUUUUGGAUAACGUGUACCCAUAGUGGGAUAGGUACCAUCUACACCGGUGAACAAUUGAGAAAUGGCCAGAGACCAGUCCAUUUGAGGCCAUUCCUGAGCUUAAGUCCCCACUUCCCAGGUGACUCUAGGCUUGUGUCAAGUUGACAGCAGAGGCUGACUGUGACACUUCCUCAGCACCCUCAUGGCACCAUUCAGCACGAUGAAAGCUAGCCAGCAGGGAGUGGCCAAAGUGUGUGGUGUCUUCAGCAAAGGGGCACGGGGAAUGUCUUACUAUCAAGUUGUUGGGCAGCCAAGCCAAGAAUAGUAGUAAUAGCCUGCAUUGUUUAGGGGCAUCUCUGGGAACCCUCGACCAGCAAUUUGAGGGGAGGUAUCCCAAACCUGGCACUGGGUGGGCUUUUCAUUUGGCAGCUUGUGGCUUCUGGAAGAAGCCUUAUCCUCCAUGUAGAGUAACUUCAUUUGAACUCUGCGUGCGUGCAUGUGUGUGUGUGUGUGUGUGUGUGUGUGUGUUUUAAAUAGUAGUUUUUCUAUGUAGCUCAUUAAAGUAUCCUUAGUGUUAUCCUUCCCUCCAACCUUUCCUUUUCUUAUCCUUCAUCUCCCUGCUUAAACCUCCCCUAACUAGUACCCACCCACCCACCCACCCCCCACGAUUAUUUUUGCUAAAUGGAUAUAAUAUCAGACUGCCUUCCAAAUACCUCUCUACCCAGUUCAGCUCUCGGUCCUCACCAAAGAAGCAUCUUUGUGUUGUGGUUGGCGGUUAAUAUCCAGACUCAGAACUAAUCAAGUGGAGAGAACAAGUGUCGUGGACAUCUGUAUCACACCCACUCCCAUCAAGGCUCAGGGAACAUUGCGGAAGAGGAGGCGGGAAGAUUGUAAGAGCCAGAGGUCAGGGAGAACUGAGGUGAAAUUGUGUCUCCUGAAUAUGACAAGAGUCACUGAACUCACAGCAGCUCUGGUUGCCUGCAAAGCCUGAACAAGAUCAAGCCAGUCAACAUUUCAACAUGGUUGGGGUAGGGGCACAGGAGUCCUCAACCUUAGCUGAGGUGCUCCUGACAGCUGAUGACUCAUUGGGGAGGCAGAGUCAAUUUUCUUUAGGGGUGUGGCCCAUGGCAGGUGGCCUCACACUCUCAUAUAUGAGCAGCACUAGCUGGAUAGGAAGUUGGGAGAAGGACCUAAGUGGUAGAUCCAGGAGGAAUGUAAGGAAAGGGGGGGGUCAAUGUGACAGGAAAACAAUGUUUGCAUGUAUUAAAUUCCCCCCAAAUAAAUUAUUUUUUAAAAUUAAAAA